GGGUGAGUAAUAUAUCGGAACGUACCAUUCAGCGGGGGAUAACGUAGCGAAAGCUACGCUAAUACCGCAUAUUCUGUGAGCAGGAAAGCAGGGGAUCGCAAGACCUUGCGCUGAUUGAGCGGCCGAUAUCAGAUUAGCUUGUUGGUGAGGUAAAAGCUCACCAAGGCGACGAUCUGUAGCGGGUCUGAGAGGAUGAUCCGCCACACUGGAACUGAGACACGGUCCAGACUCCUACGGGAGGCAGCAGUGGGGAAUUUUGGACAAUGGGGGCAACCCUGAUCCAGCCAUGCCGCGUGAGUGAAGAAGGCCUUCGGGUUGUAAAGCUCUUUCAGCCGGGAAGAAAACGCAUGGGUUAAUACCCUGUGUGGAUGACGGUACCGGAAUAAGAAGCACCGGCUAACUACGUGCCAGCAGCCGCGGUAAUACGUAGGGUGCGAGCGUUAAUCGGAAUUACUGGGCGUAAAGCGUGCGCAGGCGGUUUUGUAAGACAGGCGUGAAAUCCCCGGGCUUAACCUGGGAACUGCGUUUGUGACUGCAAGGCUAGAGUACGGCAGAGGGGGGUGGAAUUCCACGUGUAGCAGUGAAAUGCGUAGAUGUGGAGGAACACCAAAUGGCGAAGGCAGCCCCCUGGGUCGAUACUGACGCUCAUGCACGAAAGCGUGGGUAGCAAACAGGAUUAGAUACCCUGGUAGUCCACGCCCUAAACGAUGUCAACUAGGUGUUGGGAGGGUAAAACCUUUUAGUACCGGAGCUAACGCGUGAAGUUGACCGCCUGGGGAGUACGGCCGCAAGGUUAAAACUCAAAGGAAUUGACGGGGACCCGCACAAGCGGUGGAUGAUGUGGAUUAAUUCGAUGCAACGCGAAAAACCUUACCUACCCUUGACAUGCCAAGAACUUUCCAGAGAUGGAUUGGUGCCCGAAAGGGAACUUGGACACAGGUGCUGCAUGGCUGUCGUCAGCUCGUGUCGUGAGAUGUUGGGUUAAGUCCCGCAACGAGCGCAACCCUUGUCGUUAAUUGCCAUCAUUUAGUUGGGCACUUUAACGAGACUGCCGGUGACAAACCGGAGGAAGGUGGGGAUGACGUCAAGUCCUCAUGGCCCUUAUGGGUAGGGCUUCACACGUCAUACAAUGGUCGGUACAAAGGGUCGCCAAGCCGCGAGGUGGAGCCAAUCCCAGAAAGCCGAUCGUAGUCCGGAUCGCAGUCUGCAACUCGACUGCGUGAAGUCGGAAUCGCUAGUAAUCGUGGAUCAGAAUGUCACGGUGAAUACGUUCCCGGGUCUUGUACACACCGCCCGUCACACCAUGGGAGCGGGUUCCGCCAGAAGUAGGUAGCCUAACCGCAAGGAGGGCGCUUACCACGGCGGGGUUCGUGACUGGGGUGAAGUCGUAACAAGGUA
This 1398-nucleotide ribosomal RNA is filed under the name metagenome. RNAcentral's name for it is "bacterial SSU rRNA". It matches the Rfam family "Bacterial small subunit ribosomal RNA". The record is from RNAcentral.